AUUGAACGCUGGCGGCAGGCCUAACACAUGCAAGUCGAACGGCAACAGGAUGAAACUUUCUUCUUUCGUGACGCGUGUCGCGCGCGUGAGUGAUGUCUAUGAAACUCCCCGAUGUCGGGGGGGAACUACUGGGAACGGUUGCUCUAAUAGCAUAUAGUACCUACAGCAGAAAGCAGGGCCUUCUGGCACCUUGCGCUCUUGAGUGAGCCGAUGGCGGAUUAGCUAGUUGGGGGGGUAAAGGCUCACCUAGGCGACGAUCCGUAGCUGGUCUGAGAGGAUGACCAGCCACACUGGAACUGAGACACGGUCCAGACUCCUACGGGAGGCAGCAGUGGGGAAUAUUGGACAAAGGGCGCAAGCCUGAUGCAGCCAUGCCGCGUGUGUGAAGAAGGCCUUCGGGUUGUAAAGUACUUUUAGUGGGGAAGAAGGGAAUCAAGUUAAUACCUUGCCGCAUUGACGGUACCCGAAGAAUAAGCACCGGCUAACUCCGUG
This 492-nucleotide ribosomal RNA is filed under the name uncultured bacterium. RNAcentral describes it as "partial 16S ribosomal RNA". It matches the Rfam family "Bacterial small subunit ribosomal RNA", at positions 30 to 507 of the family's 1533-position model. The record is from RNAcentral.